GACGAACGCUGGCGGCGUGCCUAAUACAUGCAAGUUGAACGCAACAAAGACACCAGAGCUUGCUCUACCGUCUUUGUUGAGUAGCGAACGGGUGAGUAACGCGUGGGUAACCUGCCUUAUAGCGGGGGAUAACUAUUGGAAACGAUAGCUAAUACCGCAUAACAAUAGAGAUUGCAUAAUCUUUAUUUGAAAGUGCCAACUGGUACACUAUGAGAUGGACCCGCGUUGUAUUAGCUAGUUGGUAGUGUAAUGGACUACCAAGGCGAUGAUACAUAGCCGACCUGAGAGGGUGAUCGGCCACAUUGGGACUGAGACACGGCCCAAACUCCUACGGGAGGCAGCAGUAGGGAAUCUUCGGCAAUGGACGAAAGUCUGACCGAGCAACGCCGCGUGAGUGAAGAAGGUUUUCGGAUCGUAAAACUCUGUUGUUAGAGAAGAAUGUUGAUUAGAGUGGAAAAUUAAUC
Molecule: ribosomal RNA, 464 nt
Filed under: uncultured Lactococcus sp.
Lineage: Bacteria; Bacillati; Bacillota; Bacilli; Lactobacillales; Streptococcaceae
Description: bacterial SSU rRNA
Rfam family: Bacterial small subunit ribosomal RNA
Source: RNAcentral